CACAUGCUUAUACGACACCCCAACAAUACAGGAUUCCUUUCAUCAUAUCAGAUAAAGACCUUACUGAAAGGAAUUUAAAAAUUAAUACACACGUACCAUCUCAAAGGCUACCCAUCCACAAUGACAUUUUCAUUCACUAUCAGACUUAUUAGAUUCAGCUCCUUUUGAACACAUGACCAAUAUGGUUAUCAAAACUGCCAUUUGCCUAGCAUUCUAUGGGUUCUUACGUCCCAAUGAAUUUACCGCUAGAAAUAUAACUGCCACUGAUUACCUGGAAACUACUGGUAUCCAGGAAACCUUAGAUCAUUAUGUUCUAUCUUUAAAUCAGUCUAAAACAAGUCCUACAAGACAUACUGUCAAAAUUACUCUGUUC
Molecule: non-coding RNA, 373 nt
Organism: Pelobates cultripes (western spadefoot toad)
Lineage: Eukaryota; Metazoa; Chordata; Amphibia; Anura; Pelobatidae
Source: the annotation of a GenBank genome assembly